UACGAAGGGGGCUAGCGUUGCUCGGAAUCACUGGGCGUAAAGGGCGCGUAGGCGGCCUGGCAAGUGGAAGGUGAAAUCCCUCGGCUUAACCGAGGAACUGCCUUCCAAACUGCUUGGCUUGAGUCCGGGAGAGGUGAGUGGAAUUCCCAGUGUAGCGGUGAAAUGCGUAGAUAUUGGGAAGAACACCGGUGGCGAAGGCGGCUCACUGGCUCGUAACUGACGCUCAUGCACGACAGCGUGGGGAUCAAACAGG
Molecule: ribosomal RNA, 253 nt
Filed under: uncultured bacterium
Lineage: Bacteria
Description: partial 16S ribosomal RNA
Rfam family: Bacterial small subunit ribosomal RNA
Source: RNAcentral